GACGAACGCUGGCGGCGUGCCUAAUACAUGCAAGUAGAACGCACAGUUUAUACCGUAGCUUGCUACACCAUAGACUGUGAGUUGCGAACGGGUGAGUAACGCGUAGGUAACCUGCCUGGUAGCGGGGGAUAACUAUUGGAAACGAUAGCUAAUACCGCAUAAUAUUGAUUAUUGCAUGAUAAUUGAUUGAAAGAUGCUAUUGCAUCACUACCAGAUGGACCUGCGUUGUAUUAGCUAGUAGGUGAGGUAACGGCUCACCUAGGCGACGAUACAUAGCCGACCUGGGAGGGUGAUCGGCCAAACUGGGACUGAGACACGGCCCAGACUCCUACGGGAGGCAGCAGUAGGGAAUCUUCGGCAAUGGACGAAAGUCUGACCGAGCAACGCCGCGUGAGUGAAGAAGGUUGUCGGAUCGUAAAGCUCUGUUGUAAGAGAAGAACGGGUGUGAGAGUGGAAAGUUCACACUGUGACGGUAUCUUACCAGAAAGGGACGGCUAACUACGUG
RNAcentral lists this ribosomal RNA (505 nucleotides) under uncultured bacterium. Its description in RNAcentral is "partial 16S ribosomal RNA". It matches the Rfam family "Bacterial small subunit ribosomal RNA", at positions 28 to 507 of the family's 1533-position model. The record is from RNAcentral.